AACUAUGAUUCCCUUAGUAACGGCGAGUGAACAGGGAAAAGCCCAAAUUUGUAAUCUGGCACUUUUUACAAGUGUCCGAGUUGUAAUUUGUAGAGCUGUUAUCCGUACUGGACCAUGUACAAGUCUGUUGAAAAGCAGCAUCAUUGAAGGUGAAAAUCCUGUAGAUGAUAUGGACUACCAGUAUAUUUGUGAUACGGUUUCUAAGAGUCGAGUUGUUUGGGAAUGCAGCUCAAAGUGGGUGGUAAAUUCCAUCUAAGGCUAAAUAUAAGUGAGAGACCGAUAGCAAACAAGUACCGUGAGGGAAAGAUGAAAAGAACUUUGAAAAUAGAGUUAACAGUACGUGAAAUUGCUGAAAGGGAAACGUUUGAAGUUAGUUUUGUAUUCGUUGGAUCAGCUUCGCAAGGAGUGUAUUCUGAUGAUAAGCAAGUCAACAUCAGUCUAUGAGUGUUGGAUAAGGGUUUUGAGAAUGUAGCAAUUUAAUUGUGUUAUAGCUUGAGACUUGGAUACGAUGCUUUGGAUUGAGGAACGCGUAGUAAGCUUUGAGCGGAUUCGAAAGGAUCUCCUUACUAUGGAUGUUGGUGAAAUAACUUUAAGCGACCCGUCUUGAAACACGGACCAAGGAGUCUAACAUGCUUGCGAGUAUUAGGGUGUUGAAACCCGAAUGCGUAAUGAAAGUGAAUCUAAGAUGUGAUCCGCAAGGUGCAACAUCGGCCAGUCUGGAUCAUUUAUGUGAAGGUACUGAGCAAGAGCAAGUAUGUUAGGACCCGAAAGAUGGUGAACUAUGCCUGGAUAGGGUGAAGUCAGAGGAAACUCUGAUGGAAGCUCGUAGCGGUUCUGACGUGCAAAUCGAUCGUAGAAUCUGGGUAUAGGGGCGAAAGA
This 879-nucleotide ribosomal RNA is filed under the name Melampsora laricis-epitea. Its description in RNAcentral is "Melampsora larici-epitea partial large subunit ribosomal RNA". It matches the Rfam family "Eukaryotic large subunit ribosomal RNA", at positions 67 to 930 of the family's 3401-position model. The record is from RNAcentral. Lineage: Eukaryota; Fungi; Basidiomycota; Pucciniomycetes; Pucciniales; Melampsoraceae.